RNAcentral lists this long non-coding RNA (801 nucleotides) under Canis lupus dingo (dingo). Its description in RNAcentral is "lncRNA (ENSCAFG00020020655.1)". The record is from RNAcentral. Lineage: Eukaryota; Metazoa; Chordata; Mammalia; Carnivora; Canidae.
AUGAGAGCUCUGGCAGCUUCCUGCCCAUGCCAGAACGACGCCGUGGCCCUAAGGGGGACCCAGGCGAGCGGGGCCCCCCAGGCAAGGAGGUGUGUGUCUGCCUCAGUGGGGGUGUCCUGGGGACAGCAUCAUGGCACAGCUAACAACAUUCACUCUUCUGCUCCUCCAGGGCCCCAUUGGCUUUUCUGGAGAACGUGGGCUGAAGGGAGAGCGUGGAGAUCCAGGCCCACAGGGGCCACCAGGCCUGGCCCUUGGAGAAAGGGGCCCCCCUGGACCUCCUGGCCUUGCAGGGGAGCCUGGAAAGCCUGGCAUUCCUGGGCUCCCAGGCCGGGCUGGGGGCGCGGGGGAGGCAGGAAGACCAGGAGAGAGGGGAGAACGGGGAGAGAAAGGAGAACGCGGGGAACAGGUGAGCUGGGAGGGCUGCAGGGGUGGGCCUGCCUGGGCACCGCAUUGGGGCAGCCCUGCCAUUUCCUUCUUUUCCACAGGGCAGAGAUGGCCCUCCUGGCCUCCCUGGACCUCCUGGCCCCCCUGGCCCCAAGGUGGCUGUGGAUGAGCCAGGUCCUGGACUCUCUGGAGUUCAAGGACCUCCUGGAUUCAAGGGCGCAAAGGGGGAGCCAGGCAGUGACGGCGACCAAGGCCCCAAGGGAGACAGGGGUAUGCCAGGAAUCAAGGGAGACCGGGGAGAGCCUGGACAGAAGGGGCUCGAUGGCAGCCCGGGUCUACCAGGAGAGCGUGGUGUGGCUGGACCUGAAGGGAAGCCAGGUUUGCAAGGUCCGAGGGGGACCCCUGGCCCAGUGGUGA